This 465-nucleotide ribosomal RNA is filed under the name uncultured bacterium. RNAcentral describes it as "partial 16S ribosomal RNA". It matches the Rfam family "Bacterial small subunit ribosomal RNA", at positions 28 to 507 of the family's 1533-position model. The record is from RNAcentral.
GACGAACGCUGGCGGCGUGCUUAACACAUGCAAGUCGAACGGAAAGGCCCCUUUGGGGGUACUCGAGUGGCGAACGGGUGAGUAACACGUGAGUAACCUGCCCUUGACUUCGGGAUAACUUCAGGAAACUGGGGCUAAUACCGGAUAGGAAUCCUUGCUGCAUGGUGGGGGUUGGAAAGCUUCGGCGGUUUUGGAUGGACUCGCGGCUUAUCAGCUAGUUGGUGGGGUAGUGGCUUACCAAGGCUUUGACGGGUAGCCGGCCUGAGAGGGCGACCGGCCACAUUGGGACUGAGAUACGGCCCAGACUCCUACGGGAGGCAGCAGUGGGGAAUAUUGCACAAUGGGCGGAAGCCUGAUGCAGCAACGCCGCGUGCGGGAUGACGGCCUUCGGGUUGUAAACCGCUUUCAGCAGGGGCGAAGCUUGUGGUGACGGUACCUGCAGAAGAAGCACCGGCUAACUACGUG